AACUCCGAAUGCCAAUUAAUUUAACUUGGGAGUCAGAACAUGGGUGAUAAGGUCCGUGUUCGAAAGGGAAACAGCCCAGACCACCAGCUAAGGUCCCAAAAUAUAUGUUAAGUGGAAAAGGAUGUGGCGUUGCCCAGACAACUAGGAUGUUGGCUUAGAAGCAGCCAUCAUUUAAAGAGUGCGUAAUAGCUCACUAGUCGAGUGACACUGCGCCGAAAAUGUACCGGGGCUAAACAUAUUACCGAAGCUGUGGAUUGUCCUUUGGACAAUGGUAGGAGAGCGUU
RNAcentral lists this ribosomal RNA (284 nucleotides) under Staphylococcus aureus. RNAcentral's name for it is "partial 23S ribosomal RNA". It matches the Rfam family "Bacterial large subunit ribosomal RNA", at positions 952 to 1240 of the family's 2925-position model. The record is from RNAcentral. Lineage: Bacteria; Bacillati; Bacillota; Bacilli; Caryophanales; Staphylococcaceae.